CUCAUUAAUGAUAUUGACAUAUGAUUAAAGCAUAUGAAAAAGCUUUAAGCAAAACAGGAAUAUCAUAAAUGAAGUAGAAAUUAUAAAUUAUUCAAAUUGAAUCAAUUCUAGUGAAAUUGAUGGGAAAGUUUGUAAAUGAAAAGGAAAGAAAGAAAGAAAAAAUAAAAUGGUAUUUUCAUGUAGUCACAAAAAAUCUAGUGAGGAAAAACUUUAAAUAGUACUGAUAAAAAUCACUGGGUUUUGUCUCUAACUUUUCAUUCUGUUAAUGUAAUAUUCCAUGGGUUGAAUAUUAAUCUGUUUUACAAAACAUUCAUAUUUAGACAUUAGGUUGUUUAUUUCUUCUAAAUGCAGAAGAUAUUUUACAUUGGAAUUGUGUUAUUUCCAGGUUAUCUUGGCUACCUAUCUGACAGGAAGUGGUUUCCCAGAUAUAUUCUGAUUUUGACCAGGUAUUUAAAGAGACACAGUUGUUUAACUCUUAAAUUUAUUUUUUCUACAAAAUUAGAAUCAGGAUUUUAGAGCUGAAAAGGAUCACAGAAAUCUUGUAGGCUGUCACCUCAUUAUGCGAAGGCCAAAUGUGAAUUUAAUUUAAAUGGCUAAGUUAGGAUGUGAAGAAUAAUUAGUGGCAGAGCUAGAACCAAAAUUCAAGUCUCAAAAUAUCCACUCCAAAACUCUGUAUGAGACAUUAUGCAGGCCACUUCAACUUGAUAUAUUAUGUAUGGUGGCAUAAUGGUUUUUCUAAAUAGGUUGAACAAAGCCUUUAUAUGGAUUGACAUUAUUUGAGAGAAGACAGAAAGGAUCACAGCAGGUUCAGAUGAAAAAGUGAUAGGUGUUAUCAUCUAAAUCUGAUACAUCUCAGUAUGAGAUAUACAGAUGACAGCAACCAAUACUCCAAAAUAUUUAUGAUAUGUGAAAAAGUAGAUGCAGCCUAGAAAAAGUACAAAAGUAUAUGGUGGGUGAUUAUUAAUUAUAAUUAAAAAUUCCAGUUAUUGCCACUCUUCUCAGUAAUUUGAUUUUACUCUGUGUUCCUGACUGGAUAAUUUGUCUUGCCUGCAUCAGUUCUUUUGUUGAAUGAUUAUCAUAAUUAUAUGUGUGCAUAAUUUUUCUUGAAAGUAUAAGGACUCUGGUUUUUUCUUGUUAAUUUAUAGUUUAAUAAUAAUAGCAACAACAAAAAAUAGCAAAUACUUAUAGGGUGUUAAAUAUAUGCCUGCUACAAAUUUGCACUAUAUAACACUUUAUGUAUUUUUCACUCCUUUAAAUACUUUAGACAUUUCUAAAUGACAUGACAUAUUUUAGCUCCUUUAAUUGUCACAAAACUUUUAGGUUUGGUGCUUUUACUAUUUCCAUUUUACAGAUGAGUAAACCAAGGACGAUAUACUAAGGUGUGGAGUAGAAUAAACUCUGAGAGAAUAUUCUUAAUCACCUUUAAAAUAUGUAAGAUUAGCUUUAAAUAAAAGGUUUGACACAUUAGCCAAAAUUGAGAGGAAAGGUUGCAUUCCAAACUAAUAGUUUCUGCUGAUAUUGGCAGGAUUUUUGCUGCUCCAGUAGUUUCUGUUUAAUGAGCAAAUUGCUUUAAGUACUCAUAUGCCACUGUGGCACUAAGAAUAAAGAUAUUUAGUCAAUUUGUCUCUUAUUUGUGAUAAUUCCAGUGUUUGUACAAUAGCACUCUGAAUUUAACAUGAAAAUAUAUAACACUUAAGAAAGUAAUAUUAUAAACUUAAAAAAUAAUGCAUAAAGAGAGCAAUAAAAUGAGUGAUUUCUUAAACACAGAAGUAUCCAUUAUGAUGUUAUGAAAACAAUGAUUAAUAAUCUAUUUUAUCGAUUUGAGAGCUCAUCAGUAAGUAGAUUUUCAGACAACACGCAGCAAUAAAUACCAAAUAUACAUGCAUAAGGAUUUUAAUGAGUAUCCAUAGCCUGAUAUAGCAAUCCCCUUUUUUCAGGGAGUUAUAUCUGGUAGAGAAUGUCCUCUGAAACAGUCAGCUCCAUGCAUGAAAAUGCAAAAAUGCUUCUCUAUGUCACUCAUUAUUUUAUGUCAUAUUGCUUUUUCUUCUCCCCUUUGUCUUGAUGAAUUUGAUCAGUCCUCCAAAACCCAGUUUAAUUAUCUCAUCUCUGAAGUUUUCCUACAGUUUAAUUUCUUUCUCCUAUGACUUUUCCACAGUACUGAGGUGUAUACACAUCUAACACUCAGUUACAUGGUCUUUGUGAUAUUAAUUAUUGAUUCUAAAUACUAGACUAUGUGUGUAUUAAGUAACACACAUCUUGAGGGUGGUGUCUCUCUGUCUUAGGUUUCUUUAACUCCUCAGCACUUACCAAACAGCCACAGGUAGGACAUUCUCAGGAGUAAUCUGAUCCUUUUGUCCACUUAAAAAAAGGUGGGGGGGAGCAUAUUGCAUUUCAAUCUAUAAUAGUGAUUUAGUAGGCUCCUGAAGCCAUUUCCUUCCAGACACACCAAAUCUUCAGCUGCACUUACAGCAAUUCCUUCUGAAAAAAAUCUGAAAACUAGCUGAGCAAUUCCUAUACAUCAUGUUAAUGAAAAGAUAACCACAUAGAAACAGGAAAAAACAAAUACACUCUUGGCAUAAAACUUACUCCUAGCACAGCAACAAAAAAUCAUAAGGAAACUAACAACUCUCAGUUUCUUCUUGAUAAGUGAAAGGUUUCCAUACCAUAUCUAGCACCCCAAAUUUUAAGACUUUUACCUGAGGGGUGGGCAACCAAAACACUUAGCUCUGAAAGCCAACAGGACUUAUGUCCAUAAAACCUACAAGAUUAUAACAUUAGUCUUACCAGGACUUGCUGUGGCUGUUUCCCCAGGGAUCAGCUCAAAGGAAGAGGAAAAAAAUCCCUAUGCCCCAGUCUUUCCCCCAAAGAGACCUAUUUGUAGAUUUUAAAAGCUGAGAAUGCCAUCUCCAUAUCCUCCCUCUAGCUUACUCCAGGUAACCAAUAUCUCCCUAGAAGGAGCUUGUACAUACUUGGUAAGUCUAACUAGACUUACCUAGAAAAAAAAGAGACAGGACUCAAGUAAAUAAAAUUACAAAUGAAAGAGGAAAUAUUGUUACAAGUGAUACCAGGCAAAUACAAAAGAUUGCAAGAAUCCACUAUGAAUAAUUGUAUGCCAACAAAAUGGACAAUCUAGAGGAAAUGGAUAAAUUCCUGAAAAUACAAGCCUACCAAGAGUGAAUCAUGAAGAAAUAGAAAACGUAAACAUAAUAAAGGCCAUGUAUGAUAAGCUCACAGUUAACAUCAUAGUUAAUGGUUGGAAACUGAAAACUUUUCCUCUAAGAUCAGAAACAAAACAAGGCUGCCCACUUUCACCACUUCAUUUAACGUAGCCAGAGCA
Molecule: long non-coding RNA, 3337 nt
Filed under: Canis lupus familiaris (dog)
Lineage: Eukaryota; Metazoa; Chordata; Mammalia; Carnivora; Canidae
Description: lncRNA (ENSCAFG00000057374.1)
Source: RNAcentral